GAGAAAGCAUAAACUUGGAGAACACUUCAUAUAUUUUGUUUCUGUAAAUUCCAUCCGGAUUACAAUAAGAUACAUGGAGUAUUUAUAGAUAAUACAAGGAUCCAGGGUACAAGAGUCUUUUUCAUAUCUCACAUAGUCCUUAUGCAUAAGGAUUGAUCGCCGUCGUUGUCCUCUGCCAUUUAUCCUUCCUUUAACUGAUUUUGCCAUUUAUCCUUCCUUUAACUGAUUUUAUCAUUUAUCUUUUCCAACUAACAGAUGAGCUUUAUUCGUCUGUGCAAGUAGACUUCGAUGGCCCGCACAUGUAUCUCUCUAAUGAUCUGUGCAAGUACAUGGGAAUCCCCCCUUUAACUAACGCGUGUACCCGGGCCUGCGUAGGUAGGAUUCUUAACUAAUUGUUCAACGUCCUUGUUUAAACCUGUACUGCAAGUCCUUUUUACCAUAGAUAAUAAUGAGAAUAAUAAAUAAAUAAAUGAAUAAUGUCAUGCGAUGAUAAGAAUUUACUCAUCAUUAUGUAACUUUGUAUUGUAAUAAUCUGGACUUAGUUAAAGUGUGUAAAAAAUUGCUUGAAAGUGUAUUUAAGUUCUCUUAUCUAUAUCAUAUAUGCUCAUAUGCAUUUGACUAUUUAAUUAGACCACACGGUUUGAUUGGACACAAAAAUGUAGUAUCAAAUUGUUCGCGCGUAUUAGAUUAAUGAGAAUAAUUAAUGUGCUUGUAUUAAUUGAGAAAAGAUUCAGCGUUCUACAAUUUUAUGUAUGUUAUUAUAUCACUCAUAUAUUUAUUAUUUUGAUAAUAUUUUUAUAAUAAUAUUAUGAAUUAUACUUAAUUUUUAUUUUAAAAUUACCCACUAAGAUAAAAACUUCAAAAAAAUACCCAGACUUACCAUUAUACCCCUUCAAACACCACCCUUUAAAAAAUUCCCGCAUUUCACAACCCAGUGGAAUUCAAAACCAAAAUUUUUUGGUUGUGAAUUCACAACCAUGAUUUAUUUUGGUUGGGUUCCUGGCUCUGAUUCGUUUGAGCACCUCUAGCUAUAUACGAGAAAUGACGACCGAAUUGGGGCUUCGGUAUGAGUGAUGAUCAAAUUAUUGAUCAAGUGCAAAAGUUGUAUGCCUCCAAGCAUGGGGUUAAUUCAAAUAUCCCAACGCUUGGCAUGUGCUUCGUGAAUCUCAAAGAUUCGCUUCAAUCGGCCAAAAUGUUCAGUUCUCCAAACGUUUGAAGGGAUCAAACGGACUCCACACGACGACUUCUAACGAUUCUGUUAAGGAUCGAGUCUACACCUCCCGUCGAGGGAAGCGGGUGUAGGGCGUUGCCCUAAUUAUAUAGUUUCCUUAUUUCUAUAAUGUUAUUUCCUUCCUUAUUAUUAGUUAUUAGUUAUUUUGGGGUGUGGGCUCUUGCAUGGGCUUUUGGGUGCAAUUAGGUCAAUAAAUUGUAAUAGCCGUCAGUUUGGGAUGAGGCAUCUAGGGUGUAAGAUCGAAGCGGCGUUAGCGCUUGGACAGGAGAACUCUUCUCCUGGUAGUCUUUUAUCUUUCAAUUGUGAAUCAACUAUUCAGUUCGAUUCUAGUAUACUGUAAUCUCUCUUCUUUACUCUAUCAAUUUGGUCCGACCUGCCGGCGCAGUUCAUGCCAGCCACCCGUUCGAAUACCCACAUGGAAUCUGAAAAUCGUUUGGUGAUGAUAGAGAAGAUGAGUGAUGAGAUGUCCGUAGAAAUUGGCAACUUGACGACGAAGAUCGAUUCUUUGACUUCGCUCCUUGAAACCUUUAUGCUUGAUAAAGGAAACGACCGUACGGGGGUUUCAGACGNAUUUGGUCCGACCUGCCGGCGCAGUUCCAUGCCAGCCACCCGUUCGAAUACCCACAUGGAAUCUGAAAAUCGUUUGGCGACGAUAGAGAAGAGGAGUGAUGAGAUGUCCGCAGAAAUUGGCAACUUGACGACGAAGAUCGAAUCUCUGACUUCGCUCCUAGAAACCUUUAUGCUCGAUAAAGGAAAGGACCGUACGGGCGAACCACACGACGGCGAGGAAAGUUCAGCAGAUGGAGGUCGCCGCCCACCGCCGUUCACGCCUGAAACCUAUACCUCUGCAAAUAGAGUUUCCUUACCACCUUUUGAUGGGAGUAAGCCGGAGGCCUGGAUUGCUCGAGCCGAGCAGUAUUUUCAGUUGCAUGGGAUUCCUGAUGCAAGUAAGGUCGAUGUUGCCUUAAUUGCGAUGGAGGGAGGUGCUCUGCAUUGGUUCCAGUGGACACAAACUAAAUACCCAGCCCUAUCCUGGAUACAGUUUAAACAAGAGCUGCUGAGACGGUAUGGCGAGGAUCCUAUGGCCAACACAUUCGAGGCACUUAUGUACACCCGUCAAACAGGCACAGUAAGUGAAUACGCUGAUCUGUUUAUUUCACGUCUUGUGCAUGUUCCUGGCCUUGCAGAUAAUUAUUGCCUCGGCAUGUUUCUGCACGGGUUAACAGAUGAAAUCAGGCUGCGAAUACGUUCUCGGGACGCCAAAGACUUAUUUGAUACUAUACACCUGGCCCGAGAAAUUGAACGCGAGUUAGGGGCAGUGAGGGGCUAUGAUCAGGCUCUUGUCAAAACUAAUAACCUCCCAGUGCCGCCGGGUGGAGGUACAACCGUGUCACCAACAGUGUGGUCGGGACCAUCUGUUCGGCCCCCGCAAUCCCGGACAACACCAUGGACUUUUCCGCCCCAGUCAGGAAUGAGCGGUAAAGGCCCGAGUGCCUCGUAUACCGGAAGCACUUCUGUCUUCAAUCAGCCCCGAAGUCGCCAACUCGUCAAAUCACGCAUAAGGAGUAUUGGAUAAGAGGGCUAAAGAGAAUGUUUCGCUGUGGCGACGAUAUAACCUGGCAUCGUUGUUCUGACAAGACGAUGCAGGUAGUCAUUAUUUGUGACUCUGACGAUAUUGAGCCUGAAGUGGAGAACUCAGCACCGACGCCAGCGGAGGAAAGACAUGAGAUUUAUGAGGAGCCCCAAAUACAAACUCUUGAGUUGACACAGGUUACAUCUCGUGGAUUUGACGGACCACAGACGUUAAAAUUUAAAGGGCAACUCCAUGCUACAGAGUUUUGAUAUGGUUGACAGUGGCGCAAGUCACUGUUUUAUCUUACUAAAAGCCACCGAGUUGGGAUUGCAGAUUGACCGAUCAGAACAUUCGCGUGGUUUGGGAGAUGGUCGCGAUGACAAUUGAGGGAGUGUGCCGCGAUCUUCAUUCAUAUCGGGAAGGAGAAUUCAAUAUUACCUGCUAUGUUUUCCCUUGGGCGGUGUUGAUGUGAUAUUGGAGUCUCAUGGCUCGCGUCUUGGGAGAAAUCAAGGCUGAUGAGCAAGAUGCAAUGAGUUUUGUCAUUGUGACGAAGUUUCUUCGAGGAGCCAUCUUUGUCGCGAGAAAUCAAUGCUGCGAGUUUGGGAAAUUGAGGAUGUGGAGGAAGGUGGAUUUUUGGGUUACUCAAUUCGGGGAGAGGCCACACAAAUGGAUGUGAGCUUCUAAAGCAGAGAUCAACAUGAUAGAUGACUUGUUUCGGCAGAUGGCCAAAGAGUUUCCAUCGGUGAUGCAGCCACCACAUGGGCUGCCACCGCAACGUGACGUGGAUCACCACGUUCCGCUUCAACCAGGAGUACCACCCGUCUCGGUUUGACCUUACCGUUAUAGCCACACCGCAAAGGAUGAGAUGCAGCGGUUAAUGCAAGAGGUGUUAGAGGCAGGAAUCAUCCAGCCGAGCUCGAGUCCAUUUUCAAGUCCAGUACUCCUAAUUCGCAAGAAAGACAAAAGUUGGCGAUUUUAUGUUGACUAUCGCAAGCUGAAUAAGAACAUAAUUCCUGACAAAAAUGUGCUUGGGGACAAUCGGAGGUCGAAUAUCUUGGCCACUUGGUUUCCUAUCAAGGAGUUCAGAUGGAUUCUUCUAAGGUGACUGCAAUACUACGUUAGCCGAUUCCUAAGUCUGUGAAAGGGGUGUGCGGCUUUCUGGGCUUUACGGGCUAUUAUAGGUAUUUAAUUAAGGGGUACGACCAAUUGGCUCGACUCCUGACGCAGUUACUCAAAAAAGAGAAGGUGACCAAUUUUGAGUGGUCGGUGGAAGCCCAAGUUGCAUUCGAACAGUUGCAGCAGGCGGUUACAACAGCAUCUAGCCACCCCUGACUUCUCACAGACUUUUGUCAUUGAGUGUGACGCAUCGGGACACAGUCUUGAAGCAGUUCUAAUGCAAAAUAGGCGCCAUGUUGCUCAUUAUAGCAAGGCGUUGACGGAUCAUAGCAUGACAAAAUCCGCUUAUGAAAUGGAGCUGAUGGCAUUAGUUUUGUCUACCCAACAUUGGCACCCCUACUUAGUGGGCCGAAAGUUCUUGAUUUGCACGGACCAAAGGAGCUUGCGUUUCUUGUUGCACCAAUCGGUGUCAACCCCAGCUCAACAAUUUUGGGUUGCCAAAUUGUUGGGCUAUGAAUUUGAGAUUGAAUAUAAGGCUGGGGUGACUAACCGCACAGUAGAUGCACUCUCACGGAGUUCAGAGGAGGUGGAGUGUACGACAGUGUUGAUGCCAACGUGGGUUGGAUGGGCGACUAUUGGAGCAAAACUACAUCAAGAUGAGAGAUUUGGUCCUAUGUUGCUUGCGCUGCGGUCAGGAUCUACUAACUUCCCUGGCUAUUCUUUGAUCAAUGGUAUUAUUUAUCAUAAAAGAAGAAUUAUGCUUGCUCCUGGGUCAACAUUUAUUCCCCAGCUCCUGAGCGAGUUUCAUGCUUCUCCUCAAGGUGGGCAUGCUGGUGCCUAUCGAACUUAUCGGCGGUUGGCGGCUAAUGUAUAUUGGCCUGGCAUGAUGAAAAGAGUAACACAAUUUGUCUCGGAAUGUUUGAUUUGUCAAAAGAAUAAGUAUGACACUCGUGUGCUGUCGGGAUUGCUGCAACUGUUGCCUCUUCCAACACGUGUGUGGGAAGACAUUAGUACGGAUUUUAUCGAGGGUCUGCCUCACUCGGGUGCCUUUGACUGCAUAUUCGUGGUAGUUGAUCGUCUCACUAUAUAUAGACAUUUUAUGGGUUUGCGUCACCCAUUUACUGCCAAGGAGGUGGCAGGUGUGUUUAUUCGGGAGAUAGUCCGUCUUCACGGUGUGCCUUGUUCUAUUGUUUCUGAUCGGGAUUCCAUCUUUAUUAGUUCAUUUUGGUCUGAGCUCUUUUGGGCCACGGGCACAAAGCUCCGGAUGAGUUCAGCUUAUCACCCUGAAACAGACGGGCAAUCUGGAGUGGUGAAUCAUUGCGUGGAGACUUAUUUACGUUACUUUACGGUGGAACGGCCUAAGCAGUGAGAACGUUGGCUCCCAUGGGCUGAAUACUCUUAUAACACCAGUUUUCACUCAGCGGCAGGCAUGACGUCGUUCGAAGCUAUUUAUAGCCGUCCACCGCCAACUUUGGGCAGUUUUUCGCCCGCUGAAAUCAAAGUACGAGCUGUGGCUGAAGAGUUGUUGUCUCGCGAUGAGGUGUUGCAUCAUCUACAUGAUCAUCUGGAGAGUGCUCAGCAGCGGAUGAUGCGUGCUGCAAAUAAACAUCGUCGUGACGUUCACUUUGAUGUGGGCCAAAAAGUUUUCUUGAAGUUGAGGCCUUACCGUCAGCGUUCUCUACUCUCUCGUUCUUGUGCUAAGUUGGCGGCUAAAUUUUAUGGCCCUUUCGAGGUUCUGGCACGAAUUGGGACUGCAGCUUAUCGCUUAAAACUCCCUUCUCGCUCUCGCCUUCACCCCGUGUUCCAUGUUUCUCAGCUAAAAGCUGUGGGGGGAAAUCAUGUUAUUGAAUCUGAACUGCCUGAAGCAUUCAUCCAAGAGAAGCCUGAUUUUAUACCAGAAUGGAUGUUGCGAGAUCGCAUGGUCUGGCGGGGUGAUGAUCGUGUUCGUCAGGUAUUGGUGCAAUGGUGUCAUAAGGGGCUGGACGAUGCAACUUGGGUUGAUGAGGCGGAAUUUGUGGCGCAAUUCCCUGAUUUCAGCCUUGAGGACAAGGCUGUUUGGAAGGAUGGAGGAGUUGUUAAGGAUCGAGUCUACACCUCCCGUCGAGGGAAGCGGGUGUAGGGCGCUGCCCUAAUUAUAUAGUUUUCUUAUUUCUAUAAUGUUAUUUCCUUCCUUAUUAUUAGUUAUUAGUUAUUUUGGGUUGCGGGCUCUUGCAUGGGCUUUUGGUGCAACUAUGUCAAUAAAUUGUAAUAGCCGUCAAAAUCCUAGGGCAGUUAGGAACUAUUGUGAAAGAUCGAAACGGCGUUAGCGCUUGGACAGGAGAACUCUUCUCCUGGUAGUCUUUUGUCUUUCAAUUGUGAAUCAACUAUUUAGUUCGGUUCUAGCACACUUUAAUCUCUCUUCUUUACUCUAUCAGAGGCUAAUGUUACUAUCAAAAAUCACUCUAGCCACCAUAUUCUAGCAUCAGUGGGUAAUAAUGCUUGGGAUAUCUGUGGAAUCUAUCGGUGGAGCCGCAUAGAAGAUCACCACCUCACGUGUGAGCACAUGCUCAGUCUGCUCACGGAUGUUGCUAAUAAAUAGAUUUGUGGCGGCGAUUUUAAUGAAACUCUAUACCACUUUGAGAAGGUCGGCGGGAAUUCUAAGCCGAACUCGCGUUUGCUAGAGUUUCGAAAUACUGUGGAAGCGUUCACCUGGACUAAUAACCAACAAAGGGAUGCGCAUAUUAUAGAAAAAAAAAUGAAUAAAAAAUGUUAUAACAUUUAAAAUGACACUAUACUACUAUACAAUUGACACUACGUACAAUUGACAAACAUUGAAAUUAACACCAUAUAUUUUAAAUGACACUGUGUAUAAUUGAAACUAUACUGAUAUACAAAUGAUACUAUAACAUUACAAAUGACACUAUAACAUUUAAAAUGACACUAUAACAUUGAAAUUGACAUGAUAACAUUUUAAAUGACUACUUUCGUAUGUAAAAAUGACACUAUAACAUUGAAAUNAAUACAAGGAUCAAGGGUACAAGAGUCUUUUUCAUAUCUCACGUACUCCUCAUGCAUAAGGAUUGAUCGCCGUCGUUGUCCUCUGCCAUUUAUCCUUCCUUUAACUGAUUUUUGCAGCUUUUCCAACUAACAGAUGAGCUUUAUUCGUCUGUGCAAGUAGGC
RNAcentral lists this long non-coding RNA (7079 nucleotides) under Salvia miltiorrhiza (redroot sage). RNAcentral's name for it is "long non-coding RNA (SMIL_LNC007839)". Lineage: Eukaryota; Viridiplantae; Streptophyta; Magnoliopsida; Lamiales; Lamiaceae. The record is from RNAcentral.